Molecule: transfer RNA, 72 nt
Filed under: Pyrenophora tritici-repentis Pt-1C-BFP
Lineage: Eukaryota; Fungi; Ascomycota; Dothideomycetes; Pleosporales; Pleosporaceae
Also listed under: 7 other names
Description: tRNA-Arg (TCT) (tRNA-Arg-TCT-2-1)
Rfam family: tRNA
About the family: Transfer RNA (tRNA) molecules are approximately 80 nucleotides in length. Their secondary structure includes four short double-helical elements and three loops (D, anti-codon, and T loops).
Source: RNAcentral
GUCUCGGUGGCGCAAUGGUAGCGCGUUGGACUUCUAAUCCAAAGGCUGCGGGUUCGAGCCCCGCCCGAGAUG